GAUGAACGCCGGCGGUGUGCCUAAUACAUGCAAGUCGUACGCACUGGCCCAACUGAUUGAUGGUGCUUGCACCUGAUUGACGAUGGAUCACCAGUGAGUGGCGGACGGGUGAGUAACACGUAGGUAACCUGCCCCGGAGCGGGGGAUAACAUUUGGAAACAGAUGCUAAUACCGCAUAACAACAAAAGCCACAUGGCUUUUGUUUGAAAGAUGGCUUUGGCUAUCACUCUGGGAUGGACCUGCGGUGCAUUAGCUAGUUGGUAAGGUAACGGCUUACCAAGGCGAUGAUGCAUAGCCGAGUUGAGAGACUGAUCGGCCACAUUGGGACUGAGACACGGCCCAAAACUCCUACGGGAGGCAGCAGUAGGGAAUCUUCCACAAUGGACGCAAGUCUGAUGGAGCAACGCCGCGUGAGUGAAGAAGGUUUCGGAUCGUAAAGCUCUGUUGUUGGUGAAGAAGGAUAGAGGUAGUAACUGGU
Molecule: ribosomal RNA, 478 nt
Filed under: uncultured bacterium
Lineage: Bacteria
Description: bacterial SSU rRNA
Rfam family: Bacterial small subunit ribosomal RNA
Source: RNAcentral